GAGUUCAAGAUGCCUAUGGGUCAAGUGGAGUGAUGUAAUAGAAGCAAAAGAAACAGUCUUGAUUGUUUUCUUUAGAUAAAUGUAGUGUGAUAUAAUGUUCUAAGCCAAGAACCUUAUAGCACAGAAGCCUUCACAAGGAUACCAGUAAAGGCAGUGCUGCUGUGGAGUUAGAAGAAUCUGGAGUGUGAGAAGUGGAACUAGUAGUAAAAAUAACUCUGAAACAUGGAGCUGUGUUCUGGCUGGCAUGCUUCAAAGAGUGAAACUUCAGUGGAGAAUGAA
RNAcentral lists this long non-coding RNA (279 nucleotides) under Monodelphis domestica (gray short-tailed opossum). RNAcentral describes it as "lncRNA (ENSMODG00000041911.1)". The record is from RNAcentral. Lineage: Eukaryota; Metazoa; Chordata; Mammalia; Didelphimorphia; Didelphidae.